Molecule: ribosomal RNA, 779 nt
Filed under: uncultured Neocallimastigales
Lineage: Eukaryota; Fungi; Neocallimastigomycota; Neocallimastigomycetes; Neocallimastigales
Description: partial large subunit ribosomal RNA
Rfam family: Eukaryotic large subunit ribosomal RNA
Source: RNAcentral
UACGACUACAUAUCAGGCAUAUCAAUAAGCGGAGGAAAAGAAACUAACAUAGGAUUCCCUCAGUAACGGCGAGUGAAGCGGGAAGAGCUCAAAUUUGAAAUCUUCAAGGUUCUACCUUGACGAAUUGUAGUUUAAAGAAGUGUUUUCUGUUAGAUGAGUAGCAAAAGUUCCUUGGAAUGGGACAUCAUAGAGGGUGAGAAUCCCGUAUUUGGUUAUUCAUUCUAGCUUUGUGAUACACUUUCAAAGAGUCGGAUUGUUUGGGAAUGCAGUCCAAGAUGGGUGGUAAAUUUCAUCUAAAGCUAAAUAUUGGCGAGAGACCGAUAGCGAACAAGUACCGUGAGGGAAAGAUGAAAAGAACUUUGAAAAGAGAGUUAAACAGUACGUGAAAUUGUCAAAAGGGAAGCGUUUGACACCAGUGUUGUUUUUCCGAAAAUCAAUUACGAAUGGCUUGAUUUUGUGUUGUAUUGACCUUAUCAGCUUUCUGCACUUUUUUCGAGUCUUUCUUAAUGCACUUUUCGGUUAACAAGUCAACAUCAAUUUCUUUUGUUGUAAAAGAGUAUUCGGAAGGUGGCUUUCUUUUCGGAGAAAGUGUUUAUAGCCCUAUACUUCUACAAUCGGAGAGAUUGAGGUCUGCAGCGUAGAUCCUUCGGGGUUAGAUACACUUGUGCUAAGUUGUAGCUUUUCAUAGACAACUUGUUGACUAUGUUUAGUCAUUAUUGCGGCUUACUCGCUUGUGCUAUUUUACCUACGCUUAGGAUGUUGAGUAGCGACAUACGCAC